RNAcentral lists this ribosomal RNA (459 nucleotides) under uncultured bacterium. RNAcentral describes it as "partial 16S ribosomal RNA". It matches the Rfam family "Bacterial small subunit ribosomal RNA", at positions 338 to 795 of the family's 1533-position model. The record is from RNAcentral.
CCUACGGGAGGCAGCAGUGAGGAAUAUUGGUCAAUGGCCGCCGGGCUGAACCCGCCAAGUCGCGUGAGGGAUGACGGUCCUAUGGAUUGUAAACCUCUUUUGUCAGGGAGCAAAGGGCGCCACGUGUGGCGCUUUGCGAGUACCUGAAGAAAAAGCAUCGGCUAACUCCGUGCCAGCAGCCGCGGUAAUACGGAGGAUGCGAGCGUUAUCCGGAUUUAUUGGGUUUAAAGGGUGCGCAGGCGGAAUGUCAAGUCAGCGGUAAAAUUUCGGGGCUCAACCCCGUCGUGCCGUUGAGACUGGCGUUCUUGAGUGAGCGAGAAGUAUGCGGAAUGCGUGGUGUAGCGGUGAAAUGCAUAGAUAUCACGCAGAACUCCGAUUGCGAAGGCAGCAUACCGGCGCUCAACUGACGCUCAUGCACGAAAGCGUGGGUAUCGAACAGGAUUAGAUACCCGAGUAGUC